RNAcentral lists this ribosomal RNA (253 nucleotides) under uncultured bacterium. RNAcentral's name for it is "partial 16S ribosomal RNA". It matches the Rfam family "Bacterial small subunit ribosomal RNA", at positions 524 to 776 of the family's 1533-position model. The record is from RNAcentral.
UACGAAGGGUGCAAGCGUUACUCGGAAUUACUGGGCGUAAGGCGUGCGUAGGUGGUUCGUUAAGUCUGAUGUGAAAGCCCUGGGCUCAACCUGGGAAUGGCAUUGGAUACUGGCGACCUAGAGUGCGGUAGAGGGUGGCGGAAUUCCCGGUGUAGCAGUGAAAUGCGUAGAUAUCGGGAGGAACAUCCGUGGCGAAGGCGGCCACCUGGACCAGCACUGACACUGAGGCACGAAAGCGUGGGGAGCAAACAGG